AAGUCGUAACAAGGUUUCCGUAGGUGAACCUGCGGAAGGAUCAUUACUGAGUUAGGGUUCUUUCGAGCCCGAUCUCCAACCCUAUGUUAAACUACCUUUGUUGCUUUGGCAGGCCCGUUCUUAACGGGACCGCCGGAGGUGUUUAGUCACCUCUGGCCCGUGCCUGCCAGUAGCCUACACAAAUUCUUUUACAAUUUUGUCUAAGUACUAAAUAUAAAUUUAAUCAAAA
This 229-nucleotide unclassified non-coding RNA is filed under the name plant metagenome. RNAcentral's name for it is "partial contains small subunit ribosomal RNA and internal transcribed spacer 1". The stretch from base 1 to 46 matches the Rfam family "Eukaryotic small subunit ribosomal RNA", at positions 1786 to 1831 of the family's 1831-position model. The record is from RNAcentral.